This 609-nucleotide long non-coding RNA is filed under the name Parus major (Great Tit). Its description in RNAcentral is "lncRNA (ENSPMJG00000016068.1)". The record is from RNAcentral. Lineage: Eukaryota; Metazoa; Chordata; Aves; Passeriformes; Paridae.
ACCCAGAAUAAAAGAACACUGAUGACCAGCACCCAGCCUGGUAUCCAGCUUACCGUGGCCAAGCUCAUCAGCUGAGAGGAGGUUCUCACUCAACAAAAGACAUGUAUGAGAUGUGACUUGUGACAUUGCCUCAAGACCACAAACCCCUCUCCUUGAUCCCACUGGCCCUAUGAUGCCCCCCUUUCCUGGCAGAAGGAGCAAUCUUCUAGGGAGCCCACUGCCUGUCCAAUUUCUUCCAGCAGCACAACUUGCAGACAGCAAAGCAAAUGUGCUACAGCCCAAGUCCAUCGUGGUAAACCAAAGCAACAACCUGCACAGCAGGAGGGUACACUGUGGUGCUCCAGGAAAGAAGCAACCAGAGAAACAGAGAGGAUUCUUCUUUCAGCAACAGAAGAAAGCUGGAUUCAUGAGGGACAAAGCACCCAGAGAUCAUUUUCUUUUGAAGACAACAUAAGAACAGCAGAAGUUUUUUGCCUGCCCAGCCAAAACUCCAACUAGUGUCAGAUCACAGCUUAACUGCUGGGGAAGGUCAAUGGAAUCAGAGUAAAGGAGGUAAGGGAUAUUUGUGAAUAUAAUACAGCCAUUCCAGCUGUGCCUUCUCCCUGGACA